AUCGCUUAAGUGCAUACGGUGGAUGCCUUGACACAAGAUGGCUAUGAAGGACGUAGUGUGGCUGCGAUAAGCCUCGGGUAGGUGCUUAACAACCUGUGAUCCGGGGAUUUCCGAAUGGGGCAACCCAAUUGAGUAGACCUCAAUUACUCUUAUCCGUAAGUGAUAAGAGAGCGCACCCGGUGAAGUGAAACAUCUCAGUAACCGGUGGAAAAGAAAAAAUAUUUUAUUCCCUGAGUAGCGGCGAGCGAAACGGGAAAAGCCCAAACCCAGCUCCACCCGGCUCCAGUUCCAGUUUUGUAGUAUUUAAUUAUUACUGUACUGCAGAACUGGGGCUGGGUGGGGCUGGGGGUUGUACGGUAGAAACAUUUUUCAUUUUAUAUAGUGCUCUAACGAGCACGAAUAAAGUGGAAAGGAUGGUUACAAAACCUUUUGUUAGCAGAAGUUUCUGGAAAGAAACGCCAAAGGAGGUGAUAGCCCUGUAAGCGAAAACAAGAGGACCAUUCGUUUUUAUUCGUGAGUACUGCGAGGCAAAAACACCUUGCAGGAAUCCGCCAGUACUAGCUGGUAAGGCUAAAUACAUCUUGUGAUCGAUAGUGAACCAGUACCGUGAGGGAAAGGUGAAAAGCAGUCCGGUGAGGACGGUGAAAUAGUACCUGAAACCGUAUGUUUACAAAGAGUCGAAGUCCGCAAGGACGACGGCGUGCCUAUUGAAGAAUGAACCAACGAGUUUACAUUGUGUGGCGCUAGCCUAAGUUGUUUUUACAACGUAGGCGCAGGGAAACCGAGUGUUAAUAGCGCGUUAGUCGCAUAUGUAAGACCCGAAGCCAGAUGAGCUUGCCCUGGGCAGGGUGAAGCGCGAGUAAGAUCGCGUGGAGGCCCGAACCGGUUGAUUGUGCAAAAUCUUCGGAUGACCUAGGGUAAGGAGUGAAAAGCUAAUCGAAUCUGGUAAUAGCUGGUUCUCUCCGAGACAGUUUUUGGACUGGCGGCAUGUCCUGCUGUAUUUAUAUGGUAGGGACUUUUAUGGGGGUAGAGCUACUGGUUGAGAGUCACAGGCCGAAAGGUCGGGCUUUCAGUCAAACUCCGAAUACCAUAAAAGAAUACAUGCUAGUUAGAAUGUGGGGGCUAAGCUCCAUGUUCGAAAGGGAAACAGCCCAGAUCGCAGACUAAGGUCCCUAAAUCUAUGUUAAGUGUUAAAAGUUGUUAUCUGCCAUUGACAGAUAGGAGGUUGGCUUAGAGGUAGCCAUCCUUUAAAGAGUGUGUAACAACUCACUAUUCAAACCCAGCUCCACCCAGCUCCAGUUCCAGUUUUGUAGUAUUUAGUUAUUACUGUACUGCAGAACUGGGGCUGGGUGGGGCUGGGGUGGCAGGUAGCGCUGAAAAUGUACCGGGGCUAAACAUAGUACCGAAGUCGCGGGUUCCAGCUCCACUCAGCUCCAGUUCCAGUUUUGUAGUAUUUAAUUAUUACUGUACUGCAGAACUGGGGCUGAGUGGGGCUGGAGCGGUAGGAGAGCGUUCCAAGGGCGUUGAAGCCGGACUCGCGAGAGCCGGUGGAGCGCUUGGAAGUGAGAAUGUUGGUAUGAGUAACCACAAUGCGGGUGAGAAACCCGCACCCCGAAAAUCCAAGGUUUCCGUGGCAAUGGCAAUCAGCUACGGGUUAGGCGAUCCUAAGGCGAUGGAGAAAUCCGUAGUCGAAUAGGGAAGCCGGUUAAUAUUCCGGCCCGUCUGUACUCGCGCGAUGGAGUGACGGGGGAUAUAAGGUUGUGCGCCUUAAUGGUUUGGCGUCGACCAAGUUCAGCGUGGUAUUCCAGGUAAAUCCGGGAUACUGUCUUUGAUGACGACUCGCGCGCUUGGGCGUAAGGUUAUGGUUUUCCAUGACUAAUACAGCUGAAGAGCCCUCCAAGAAAAACUUCUAAGUUUAGUGUGCAGACUCCGUACCGUAAACCGACACAGGUGGAUUGGGCGAGUAGCCCAAGGGGAACGAGUGAUUUCUGGUUAAGGAACUCGGCAAAAAAGCGGCCGUAACUUCGGGAUAAGGCCUGCCCGUUUGUCAGUGCAUGGCACUGGAAAUUCCAAAUAUGAAAAUCCAAAUGUCAAAUAAGUUACAAAUUUGAAAUUUCAAAUUUUGAAACUUGAGAUUUAUUUGUUAUUUGGUGCUUGUAUUUUGGUGCUUCCAGCGCUGUGCGCUGGUGGAUGGGCCGCAGCGAAAGUCUCUCAAGCGACUGUUUAACAAAAACACAGCUCCCUGCGAAGACGUAAGUCGAUGUAUAGGGGGUGACGCCUGACCGAUGCGAGAAGGUUAAUCCUGCCGGUUGGAUUAUUUAUAAUCCGGCUGAGUGGGCGAAGCCCUCGUCAAUGUCAGCGAUAACUAUAAUCGUUCUAAGGUAGCGCAAUUCCUUUCCGGGUAAGUUCCGGAGCGCACGAAUGGCGUAACGACUUGAGAACUGUCUCAACCAGAAGCUCGGUGAAAAUGCGAUUCCCGUGAAGACGCGGGGUACCUGCAGCAAGACGAAAAGACCCCGGGAGCUUUACUGUAGCUUGAUAUUGGCCCUAGGGCUUUGAUGCGUAGUAUAGUGGGGAGACUUUGAAGCCACGAUUUCGGUUGUGGUGGAGUCGCCAGUGAAAUACCCAUCUUCUUGGUCUUAGGUUCUAACCUCAACGGCAAAAACGUUGCGGGACAGUGUCUGGCGGGCAGUUUAAAUGGGGCGUUUUCCUCCCAAAAAGUAACGGAGGAGUUUAUUAAGGUCAGCUUAGCUCGGAUGGAAAUCGAGCUGGACGCGUAAAGGCGUAUGCUGGCUUAACUGCAAGACGUACAUGUCACGCAGGUGCGAAAGCAGAACUUAGUGACCCGACGGAUCUUCCUAGGAAGGCCGAAGACAACGGAUAAAAGUUACCCCGGGGAUAACAGGCUAGUGUCGUCUGAGCGUUCACAGCGACGACGACGCUCGGCACCUUAACAUAUCGGGGUGCACCACGAGUAAUCGUGUUCCUGGUUAUCUGAAACGAUAAUGUAAUAAAAAAAUUGGCUUAUAACGGAGAACUCCAUAAAGCGACGUGAUAGAACCUUUAUGGACAACCCCGUGGGAAGUCGUCCCGAUUUUUGAUCGUGGAUUGACCCCGUAGAGACUUGGCCUAAGCAUCGUGGAAUGCACAAAGCCGGAGUUAACAAUGGUUAAAGUUGUUAGCUAACACGCCAACCCCCAAAGAGAUAGAUUAGUUUCAUCUCAUGGGGUGAAGAUAUAGUCCGAUCCUUCUGGUAACAGAAGCAAACAUGACAGCGAUGUCGGCUCACCCUAUCCUGGUGGUGGAGAAGCUACCAAGGGUUUGUCUGUUCGCCAAUUAAAAGGGUACGCGAGCUGGGUUCAAACCGUCGUGAGACAGGUUGGUCUCUAUCUGCUGCAGGCGUUUGGUAUUUGAGGAGAGUUGUCCCUAGUAGAUUUUGCUACUUCACGCAGUAAUGCGUGAUGACAAUUCGGCUAAUAACGGUGGAAUCUUAUGUGUUCCGGUUCGUUGAUAGCCAUACUGUGCCCGGUCCGGCCAGUAUGGUACAAUUUACUUGAGGACCGGAAAAUUCAUAAGACAAUACCGUGGGAAGUCGAUCUAAAAUUGAUUUAGCAUAUAUCGCGGGAUUUCUCGAUGGUGACGGGAGUCUGAUGCUUCAGGUAAAGAAGCGGAAAGACGAUCGUGCCGGUUGGCGUUUUAUGGCAACUAUCUGUUUUUAUCAGGAUAGUCGUCAUGAAAUUCCUCUACAGUGGUUUCGAUCUGUUUUGGGUAUUGGUUAUCUGAUUCAGCGAGUUGAUGGCAUGAGUGAGUUGCGCAUCAAUGGUUUUGAGCAGGUUGCCAGUAUUCUUAAGGAACUAUCUCCAUUUCUUAGGUUUAAGAAAUUGCAGGCAGAGGCAAUGCUUUCAGCCCUUGCGAUUUUAACUAUGAAAAAGAGAAGCGUUCUAACAAAAGCAGAUUUAAGGAAUCUUGUGGGGUACGUAGUUACUAUUCAAAAUAGUAAUUAUGUCACCAAGAGAAAAAGAACACGCGAUGAGUUGCUAGAAGUUUUGGGUUUGACCCCGUAACGACUUGUUCCAUGAAAAUGGACGGACUUAGGCAGUACCGGAAAGCUUAUAUUAGAAGUUUAUAGGCAGGGCUGCUUGGGUAAUACGCCGACACCCCACGUGGGUGAAGAUAUAGUCUGUGCUCCUAGUGAUAGGGGAAUAAACGACGAGAGGACCGGGAUGAACGAACCGCUGGUGUACCGGCUUUGCUACCAAGUGAACCGCCGGGUAGCUAUGUUCGGAACGGAUAAGCGCUGAAGGCAUCUAAGCACGAAGCCAACUCCAAGAUGAGAUACCAGUCCGGGGGAAACCCUGGGCAAUGAUCCAUGGCAGAUUACCAUGUAUAUAGGCUCUAGGUGUAAGUGCAGUAAUGUAUUUAGCCGAGGAGUACUAAUCGAUCA
Molecule: ribosomal RNA, 4444 nt
Filed under: Candidatus Harrisonbacteria bacterium CG10_big_fil_rev_8_21_14_0_10_49_15
Lineage: Bacteria; Candidatus Harrisoniibacteriota
Description: 23S ribosomal RNA
Rfam family: Bacterial large subunit ribosomal RNA (bases 1-3442)
Source: RNAcentral